UAUUUAUAUAGUUUAAUAAAAACAUUAUAUUUUCAUUAUAAAAUUAAAAACAUUUUUUUAUAAAU
RNAcentral lists this transfer RNA (65 nucleotides) under Eucnemidae sp. 4 ACP-2013. RNAcentral describes it as "tRNA-Glu". The record is from RNAcentral. Lineage: Eukaryota; Metazoa; Arthropoda; Insecta; Coleoptera; Eucnemidae.